Molecule: ribosomal RNA, 380 nt
Filed under: uncultured eukaryote
Lineage: Eukaryota
Description: partial 18S ribosomal RNA
Rfam family: Eukaryotic small subunit ribosomal RNA
Source: RNAcentral
CAAUAGCGUAUAUUAAAGUUGUUGCGGUUAAAAAGCUCGUAGUUGGAGUUCUGCCAGGUGCCGCCUGUCCGCCCCAGUGGUGAGUACGUGGCGCGCAUUUGGCCCUUUCAAGGGGAGCGUAUCUGCACUUUAUUGUGUGGUGCGGGAUCCUUGACUUUUACUUUGAGGAAAUAGGAGUGUUCCAAGCAGGCUCUCGUCGUGCACAGCUCAGCAUGGAAUAAUAGCAUUGGACCUCGAUUCUAAGCUGUUGGUUGCCAGAAGCGAGGUAAUGAUGAAGAGGGAUAGUUGGGGGCAUUCGUAUUUAACUGUCAGAGGUGAAAUUCUUGGAUUUGUGAAAGACGGACUACUGCGAAAGCAUCUGCCAUGGAUGUUUUCAUUGA